This 196-nucleotide ribosomal RNA is filed under the name uncultured bacterium. RNAcentral's name for it is "partial 16S ribosomal RNA". It matches the Rfam family "Bacterial small subunit ribosomal RNA", at positions 328 to 539 of the family's 1533-position model. The record is from RNAcentral.
ACGCUCGACCCUACGUGAGGCAGCAGUGGGGAAUAUUGCACAAUGGGGGAAACCCUGAUGCAGCGACGCCGCGUGAAGGAUGAAGUAUUUCGGUAUGUAAACUUCUAUCAGCAGGGAAGAAAGUGACGGUACCUGACUAAGAAGCCCCGGCUAACUACGUGCAGCAGCCGCGGUAAUCUGAGCGGGCUGGCAAGGC